GAUGAAGAACGUAGCGAAAUGCGACAAGUAAUGUGAAUUGCAGAAUUCAGUGAAUCAUCGAAUCUUUGAACGCAUAUUGCGCUCUCUGGUAUUCCGGAGAGCAUGCUUGUUUGAGUAUCAGUAAACACCUCAACUUCCAUAUCUUUUUUGAAAUGGGAGUUGGACUUGAGUGAUCCCAACGCUUUUCCUCACCGAAAAGUGGCGGGUUACUUGAAAUGCAGGUGCAGCUGGACUUUUCUCUGAGCUAUAAGCAUAUCUAUUUAGUCUGCCUAAAAAACAGAUUAUUACCUUUGCUGCAGCUAACAUAAAGGAGAUUAGUUCUUGUGCUGACUGAUGCAGGAUUCACAAAGACGGCUUCGGCCGACUUUGUAAACUCGAUCUCAAAUCAAGUAAGACUACCCGCUGAACUUAAGCAUAUCAAUAAGCGGAGGA
Molecule: unclassified non-coding RNA, 432 nt
Filed under: soil metagenome
Description: partial contains 5.8S ribosomal RNA, internal transcribed spacer 2, and large subunit ribosomal RNA
Rfam family: 5.8S ribosomal RNA (bases 1-120)
Source: RNAcentral